This is a long non-coding RNA of Piliocolobus tephrosceles (Ugandan red Colobus), 2700 nucleotides long. RefSeq lists it as uncharacterized. The transcript has 2 exons. Lineage: Eukaryota; Metazoa; Chordata; Mammalia; Primates; Cercopithecidae. The record is from RefSeq and is a predicted model, not a curated record.
CACUCCCUGGCCAUACUGGGGACAGGGCAGACAAAGGGUGAGCCCUUACCUCUCUGAGCCUUGCCUCUGACAUGGGGAAGCCCCAGGGACAGGGAGGUCAUAGGCCCAGCAUCCCCAGCACUCUGCCCUUCCCCGACACCCUGUUCCCAGGCCCCAGGUACCAUCCGUCCUUUGUCUCCUCAGGGGUGCCCCACAGGGUGGGAAGGCAGAGGAGGCUGCCCAGCACUCAGGGCAUGUGUCCACUCACCACCCUGGCCCUGGACAGGGCGGGGCGCUCUGCAGGCCACUGCAUCCCUCACACAGCCCCCGGUAGACCCGUUCUCUUGGCUGUGAGUCUAGGGGAACCUGGGAGGCCCAAGACCACUCUUGGAACCCCACGGGCCCUGACCGAAGGCCACCACGCACCUCUUCCCCUCCUGAGGCAAAGGAGUGCUCACACCUCAGGCCACAGCCCAGGCCCUGGGAGGACAUGAAGGGUAGUGCCCACGCCAGGGCCCACAGCCAUUUCUCCCAGGUUUUCUGGGACCCCCAACCCUCCAUGUAGGGCAGCUCUGAGGGCUGGAGAGGGAGCAGGCCCUGCCAGGCAGCCUGGGUGGGUGUGGGCCAGGAGCCCAGGUUAGGGGGCACAGAGAUGGGGUCCUCUGAGGGCUGUGGCCGGCCCAGUGACCCCGAGUUCCAUCCACUCAGGGCCUGUUUCUUGGCUUUUGAGAUACGCUUGGGAGCAGCCAAGCACGGGCGAGGUGGCCCACACCUAUAAUCCUAGCAUUUUGAGAGGCUGAGGCAGGCAGAGCCAGGAGUUCAAGACCAGCCUGGGCAACAUGGCGAGACCCAGUCUCUACAAAAAUAAAAUAAUAAAGAAUUAGCUGAGCAUGGUGGCGCAUACCUGUGGUCCCCAAGACACAGGAGGCUGAGGUGGGAGGAUUCCUCAAGCCCAGGUGGAGGUUGAAUAUGCUGUGACUGCACCACUGCACUCCAGUCUGGGCAACAGAGUGAGAUCCUGUCUUAAAAGAUAAAAAUAGAAAAUAAAAUGAGCCUAGGGCAUGGAACAUCAAGGCUGCAGUGUGGACAGCAGCAGAACAGCCCCUUCUGGCCCCUGCCCUGGGCUGCAGCCUGGCUCCAGCAGGAAGGACUCGGGUCUCCAUGCUGGGCAUCCCAGCCUGUCCUCCUCUUUGCCCUCCCAACCCAUUCCUGGGCAGCAGAGGAGGGGUAAGGGCACAGGGCAGCCCCUCUGAACCAGGCUCCCCAAGGCCAUCUGGACACCAUGGCAACAUGGGCAGGAAGAGGCUUCCAUGGCAACUGACGUCCAGGGAGGUGCCAGCCUGGCAACGGGGCCACGGCCCUCCCAGCGAGCUGCGCUGGCCACACGUUCCGCCCUCGAGACCGGGAGUUCUGGCUUCCAGCCAGUGCCCCUGCCACAGCCACGCCCUGUCCUACACGACAUCCCAGAGCCUGGACCUGAGGCAAAUCCCCAUGCCCACCGCAAUCCAAGACACUGCUUGGCAGGGCACUUGGCCUUUGUUAAGCUAGCAUAUCUGAUCCUGUGGGUGGGGGACCCCCGGGCUGGGGAUCCAGGGCCCCAUCUCUCCAAGAGUCCCCCACCUUCUCGGGCUCAGGGCGAUUGGCAAGGACUACAGGGAGGGGUGAGAGGGGCUGGAGGAGGAGGGGCUCCCUAGGGUGACUGACAGAGCAGCAGCAUCCAUCCCCUGCACAGGCGGGGAGAGGGGCUGGGGCGUCAGGGAGCUUGGGGUUUCCAGGCCAAGGAGGGUAGUGCCCAGGGUCAAGGGUGACGGGAGGACACUGGGCCAUUCAGGGUGUCCUGGGUGCCUCCUCGGGCCCACUGGGGAAUCUCAUCCGGGCCUGGGCACCUAUGGUGGGAUCUAAGGACCCCACCCUGCUGUUCGCCCAGGAAGCCAGUGUUGUCUUCCUUUUACAGGAGCCACCCGUCUCCGUGAAGAUCUCUCCCUCUUCAUCAUCCUGGCCCCUGUGGGGUACCUGGCAGGCUGGGGACACACAGAAGAGCUAAACAGACGCCUCCAGCAGCCAGGACCAGGUGUCCAGCCACCUCUGCUGGGGAGGCCCCACGUGGCACCACGAACAGGAGAGAGGUCAUCUGCAGACAAGAUAUUUCGACACACUUCUUGAGGUGGUGAGCGGAGGCUGAUGUAGCAGGACAGCCUGGCAGGAAGAAGGUAAGUGGCUGGCAAGCUGUGGCCUCGUCACUGGUAUGAAGAGACCAGUGGUAUGCUGCGAACAAGCAUGGCAGGACAGCAGUGGGAGCUGGUACUGUCCCCACUCUAGACUGCAGCCCUGCAGCCAGAGAUGAGUGGGAGCCGGUACUGUCCCCACUCCAGACUGUGGCCCUGCAGCCUGAGACACCGCCUGGAGGCAGGAGGCCUCCCUUCCAAGACCUGGCUAUCCGGCUUUCUCAAGUUAAAGAGAGGAGUGCCUGGCAGCUCUGCCUGCCUCCCCUAUUAACAGGGAUAGAAAAGAAAGAAAAGCCAGACAUUUGAGCACUGAGUCUCAUGGGAAGUUCCAAGACUAAACAAAAAAAAACAAGAGAGAAAAUGCAGAAAGCAAAAGAUUCGUCUUUCCCCAAACCCACUUUAUCCCUAAGAGCAGAACAGAAUUCUCUGGAGCAAGAAGAGGGGAGCUCGGGGAAUGAUGGAGAUGUCUUGGAAAUGAAAAACAGGACUGCUAAAA